This 453-nucleotide long non-coding RNA is filed under the name Manihot esculenta (cassava). RNAcentral's name for it is "long non-coding RNA (MESC_LNC011056)". The record is from RNAcentral. Lineage: Eukaryota; Viridiplantae; Streptophyta; Magnoliopsida; Malpighiales; Euphorbiaceae.
GGUGACGGUCCAUUUUGGGGUCGUUACAGAUUGGUAUCAGAGCCCUAGGUUCACAUGAUCGGACCUAUAGAGACAGUGUUGGGCUCAGACAGGUUAGAAGUGGUCAAGCACAAUAGGAAAUCAUGUCCACUAGGAUAGGGUCUUGAGUCCUAUCUGCUAUGAUAUGAUAUGCCAUGAGUGUUGUAUGUGUAUGAUUGCUAUGUGAUGUUUAUGUGCUAAAGUGGUAUGUUAUAUGUUGUGUUUCCAGAGAGUAAAGAUGCGAGGAACUCGUCGAUCAGCUCGAUUGACUGGAGUCCCACCAGAGCAUGAGAGACCAGCUGCUCGUCCUCCUGCAUUGCCAAGGGCAAGGUCUCAGAGAUCUAGCAGGGAAGGUACGUCAAUAGACCCUAGAAGGUCUGUCGACGAGAGCAGAAGAGGAACAGUUAGGGGAGGUAGAUCAGAGGAAAGGAGGGA